Molecule: ribosomal RNA, 523 nt
Filed under: Vibrio parahaemolyticus
Lineage: Bacteria; Pseudomonadati; Pseudomonadota; Gammaproteobacteria; Vibrionales; Vibrionaceae
Description: partial 23S ribosomal RNA
Rfam family: Bacterial large subunit ribosomal RNA
Source: RNAcentral
CCUGGUGGGUAGUUUGACUGGGGCGGUCUCCUCCCAAAGAGUAACGGAGGAGCACGAAGGUGGGCUAAUCACGGUUGGACAUCGUGAGGUUAGUGCAAUGGCAUAAGCCCGCUUGACUGCGAGAAUGACAAUUCGAGCAGGUGCGAAAGCAGGUCAUAGUGAUCCGGUGGUUCUGAAUGGAAGGGCCAUCGCUCAACGGAUAAAAGGUACUCCGGGGAUAACAGGCUGAUACCGCCCAAGAGUUCAUAUCGACGGCGGUGUUUGGCACCUCGAUGUCGGCUCAUCACAUCCUGGGGCUGAAGUCGGUCCCAAGGGUAUGGCUGUUCGCCAUUUAAAGUGGUACGCGAGCUGGGUUUAGAACGUCGUGAGACAGUUCGGUCCCUAUCUGCCGUGGGCGUUGGAAGAUUGAAGGGGGCUGCUCCUAGUACGAGAGGACCGGAGUGGACGAACCUCUGGUGUUCGGGUUGUGUCGCCAGACGCAUUGCCCGGUAGCUAAGUUCGGAAUCGAUAACCGCUGAAAGCA